Molecule: non-coding RNA, 48 nt
Organism: Schistosoma margrebowiei
Lineage: Eukaryota; Metazoa; Platyhelminthes; Trematoda; Strigeidida; Schistosomatidae
Source: Rfam
AUCCAACUGACGAGUCCCAAAUAGAACGAAACGUGAGUCAAACUGGAU